Molecule: ribosomal RNA, 492 nt
Filed under: uncultured bacterium
Lineage: Bacteria
Description: partial 16S ribosomal RNA
Rfam family: Bacterial small subunit ribosomal RNA
Source: RNAcentral
AGUGAACGCUGGCGGCAUGCCUAAUACAUGCAAGUCGAGCGGCCGCACGGUAAGAUUUCGCUUCUACGGUUGGCGACUGGCGGAUGGGUGACGAGUAGAUCAGCUUCCUCUAUUACUUGGGGGACUACGUGGGGAAAGAUCCGCUACUACAGCAUAUUUUCUACGGCAUAGAGCAGGAGUGCAUCGCACCCUUCCCGACACUUUGAGACGGUGCCGCAUUAGCUAGUUGGUAAGGUAAGGGCCCACCAAGGCAACGCUACGUAGCCGAGCUGAGAGGAUGAUCGGCCACACUGGAACUGAGACACGGUCCAGACUCCUACGGGAGGCAGCAGUAGGGAAUCUUCCGCAAUGGGCGAAAGCCUGACGGAGCAACGCCGCGUGAGUGAUGAAGGUCUUCGGAUCGUAAAACUCUGUUAUUAGGGAAGAACAGAUGUGUAAGUAACUGCGGACAUCUUGACGGUACCUAAUCAGAAAGCAACGGCUAACUACGUG